CUGGCGGCACGCCUUAUACAUGCAAGUCGAACGAAGUAGCAAUACUUAGUGGCAGACGGGUGAGUAACAUGUAGGUAUCUACCCUUUGGUGAGGAAUAACACGAGGAAACUUGUGCUAAUACCUCAUAAGUCUUUACGGAGAAAGCUUUAUGCGCCGAAGGAUGAGCCUGCACUUGAUUAGUUUGUUGGUGGGGUAAUGGCCUACCAAGACUUUGAUCUAUAGCUGAUCUGAGAGGAUGAUCAGCCACAUUGGGACUGAGACACGGCCCAAACUCCUACGGGAGGCAGCAGUAGGGAAUAUUGCACAAUGGAGGAAACUCUGAUGCAGCGAUGCCGCGUGAGUGAAGAAGGCCUUUGGGUUGUAAAGCUCUUUCGUCGGGGAAGAAAAUGACUGUACCCGAAUAAGAAGGUCCGGCUAA
Molecule: ribosomal RNA, 419 nt
Filed under: uncultured bacterium
Lineage: Bacteria
Description: bacterial SSU rRNA
Rfam family: Bacterial small subunit ribosomal RNA
Source: RNAcentral